RNAcentral lists this ribosomal RNA (253 nucleotides) under uncultured bacterium. RNAcentral's name for it is "partial 16S ribosomal RNA". It matches the Rfam family "Bacterial small subunit ribosomal RNA", at positions 524 to 776 of the family's 1533-position model. The record is from RNAcentral.
UACGUAGGGGGCUAGCGUUGUCCGGAAUCAUUGGGCGUAAAGAGCGUGUAGGCGGCCCGGUAAGUCCGCUGUGAAAGUCGGGGGCUCAACCCUCGAAUGCCGGUGGAUACUGUCGGGCUAGAGUGCGGAAGAGGCGAGUGGAAUUCCUGGUGUAGCGGCGAAAUGCGCAGAUAUCAGGAGGAACACCGAUUGCGAAGGCAGCUCGCUGGGACGUCACUGACGCUGAGACGCGAAAGCGUGGGGAGCAAACAGG